This 40419-nucleotide long non-coding RNA is filed under the name Daucus carota (carrot). RNAcentral describes it as "long non-coding RNA (DCAR_LNC005684)". The record is from RNAcentral. Lineage: Eukaryota; Viridiplantae; Streptophyta; Magnoliopsida; Apiales; Apiaceae.
CCAUUCUCUUCUCCAUGCAUAAUUUAAGUGGCAAAACACACUUCAAACUCUAUCCCUAUUGUGUUGAGUACUUCGGAAAACGUUAUGGAGAGUUUCAAGAUUGCUAAAGUUUUUACCAUCUGCAUGAUGGUUCUUGUUGCUUUCUCCAAUUUGGGAGCCUCAGCGGCGCUUGAAGACGUUGCAGCACCUGCACCAUCACCAACAAGUGCUGGAACAGCAUUGUACGUACCCACAGCACUUGCUGUAGUGGCUUCUCUUGCUGCUUAUAUCUUUUAAUUUUUUUGUUUAUCAAAUCUAUGGGUAUCUGUUGGUGUCGUGUAUCCUUUUGAGUGGUAAUCUGGUUUUCAAUUUGCAUAAGUAUUUAGGGAGGCAAGAUGUGUCCAUUUAUAUAAACAGAAAAAUGAGCAAUAUUUGUAAUCUUAUAUAUGCAAAUCUCAUUAGCUAGACAAGCACUCCUGUUUUGGCUUCUGCCAAACACAGAAUUGAGAUUUUUCUCAAACAAUGAUGACCAAAAUUAUGAGUUACGGGGAAAGAUUGUAUUUCUUCGAAAACCUGCUAAAUUAAGAUGAAUACUGAUCACUGAAACACGCCAAAUUGAUCAGAGUAAUUCAGCAUAAAGAAACAAAGGACGCUUUGAAGACUUAAUUCACUUAACCUCUUUUUUAGUGGUACUUAGCCCCAAUGGGCAAGUUAUAACUCUUUGCCAGAUUAACUUGAAGAACAGGGAUAUACUCACAACCAAAAACUUCGAACUACCUUAAUCGACGCCAAAAAUGAGUUUAAAAAACUAAUACAAGCUAAAAAUUGAUGACAUGAUUAAAUAUACUGUGGAUAAGAGAAAAUUAAUGAUUGGAUAUAUUUAACGAGCAGAGUGUUGAAGUCUAAGGAGACUUUACAAAUGACUAGCCAAAAAUUCAAUUAACGUAAUAUUUACAAAACAAAUAUGCUACUCAUAGUUUCAGAAUUGCUUCUGAGCUCUUAAUAAAUGACUAGCUGCUAUACAGAAGUCUAAAAUAGAGUUUAUGUAUUGUAACAAGACCGAAGACUCAAACCAAGACAUUUACUUUAUAUAAAUUCUAAAAUAUAACAUUCAUAUAUAAAAAGGAUAGAAAUAUUUGCCAGCCGCGAACAAUUAACCAAUUAUAAACUGGUUAGUUGAUAUAUAAAUAAUUUUGUUUUCUCUUAUAUCUCAAACCUAUUUUACGUGUCAUAAAAAAUGACAAUAACAAAGGAAAUAGUUUAAAUUGAGAAAAAUAUAACUAAGUGUCAUGUGAUAAGUGUAGCCUCACAAAACUCAUUUUUGUCUUUCUUAGUAGUAAUAAUUCAAAUUAAAUCUAGUCCCAAAUAAAAAGUGCCCGGUAUGUUUUGGCUGUAGCGCAAGAUAUCCAUUCCAAUAAUUAAGUUUCCUCCCUCAUGUAACUUAUAUUUUCUUUCAUACGGAUUGCAUUUUCUUUGAAUAGACAAAUACUUCUGCUUUGGCUUUUGCUAUAUAUACCCAGAAUAUAAAUUUUGUUUAAAAAAUUGAUGACCAACAUUAUUAGUUAUAGGAAAAGAUUGUAUUACUUCUAACACCUGCUAAAUUAUGAUUAUUGACCACACCUGAAACACAACAAAUUUGAGGUUCACAUGCAAGGUAUCUUGAGUAAGUCCAGGCCAACACUAUGAAGACUUUAAGCCGCUUUAGCACUUUCACUAUUACUUACUACUUAGCCCCCAAUGACCUAAAUCGACACCAAAACACAUUCAUCAGUCUAAAAACCUAUUACAAGCUAAAAAUCGAUAGCAACUUAUAAGCUAAGAUCAAAUAAUCCGUGGAUAAGAGAAGAUUAACGACCGGAUAUUUUUAUGUACGAAAGGACUUGCUGCAACCCGUUCUUUCAAGAAGUGAGGAUUCAAGUAUGAGAAAUAGUUCUGUCAAUUCAAUUCAAUAAACUCUCUCCUAAGAAAUUUACGGAUUCGUCACUACGAAAGUCUCAAAUUGAGUUCGUGUAGUGUAACAAUAUAGAAUGUUAUAUUAAUUAAUUCAUACAAAUUCUAAAAUCUAACAUUCAAAUAACAGAAGGGGCAAUCUUUGCUGGCCAUAAUUCCAAUCAUUUAAACUAUUACUUAAGUAAAAGCAAUCUCUCCUUUGUUGAUUCGGAGAUAAUAUAUAAAUAAAUAAAAUUUAGAUAUGUAAACACUUAUAACGUCUUCAUUCAUGAUCAUAAUCCAUAACGAGUAUCGAAAGUUUCAUCCCUAAAAAUAAGUGGAAACGAAUAAAAUUCAGUCAACAUAUUAGUGUUGUGUAUAUAAGCGGCUGAUGAUAUUAGAAUUAGGUUUAGAAAUGGAUGUUCACCCCGGCCCGCUGACCCCGCCCUCGUUUGCUUUGCUGAUUUAGGAUUGCUGAUUUAGGAAAUUUAAUACUAUAACUCCCAGAAGAUCCAACAAUCAAGAAUAUCUUACACUCUAUCUAUCACCUCUGGUUCUGGUCUCUAUUAUCACAGAUAUAAUUAUCUAUUAGGUAUGAAGAAUAUUAUGAAUUUAUGAGUAUGCAUGCUACCUAGAUAGUCUUUCUUAAGUAUAUCUGCAGAAACAAAAUUUUCUCCUUAACGUGACCUUAAAGAGAUUUCUUGCUACGUCAGGUCACAAGUUUGUGUUCAAAUAAGUUGCCUACAAUGCAUGUUCUACGAGAUGAUAUAUAUUGUGUUUAGUAGGUAUCAGUUUGGUCGCAUCUACAAUCAGAGUUCUGGACAGGUGCAAGACUUCUUAAGUCUGUGUUCCGUUUUUCUCCCUUAUUUUCUACUUAAAUUACAUUAGUAAUCCGUGUAAGAUAUUUGGUAAUUGCAACAUCAUGACUUACUGUUCGGUGAAAUCUACACUACACGCAAGCGCACGUGAUCACAAGUAAUAUAUUAAGUUCGAUCCCACAGAGACUGGUGAAUUAAGAAUACGCACCUAUGCAACAAUGUAUGAUCAAUUUUCACUGCCAAGACAAUUAAUAAGGAUGGUUUCUUUUAUACUAAUAACUAAAAUUUACUAAUCAAAUUCAGAAUAGGAAAACACAUGGGAUUCUAACUUCAUUAUCGAAUUCAUCUAGAAUUGAAAUUACUGAUUAACAUGCGACUGUUGAUCCUAAUCAGACAACACGAAAGUAAUACAUGCCAACUCUCGUUGCACACAUAUCAUACCAAUCAAAAUCCGCAAUUAAGACAGAAAUCUCAUGGGCACCAACAAAGCUCAGACCCUAUAUCUCUAUAGCGGUAGUGUAAGCAGAGAGGUUUAAUAACAGGUCGUCUAUCGUGAUUACACAGGGUGAUAAAAAUAGUUCAAGUCUAUCACAAAUUAUGUUUCAUUCACAUAAUCCUAUGUUUACAUGGCAUAGUUCUAAAUUCAAUCAUCCACUCUCGCUUCAGAAAGAAUUAACAAACAACUUAGAAGUUAGCUACGCUCCUAAGAAGAAUAAGCACGGCUCAUGCAAAGAAAUCAACGUACGUCACAAAAUCAAGUAAUUAAUAUUCGUUACUAGACUACAUCGAUAAAUCCAUUAGAAUCCCAUGAAGGCGGUUAGUUCAUAAUCGAACUAAUCGACAUCAUGGGUUCUAAUGAAAACAUGAUAAAUAAAAGACGAGAAUUAAACAUAAGACAAUUGCUUGAAUUAAUAAAUAAGAACACAACGUUACAGAAUUGAUGUUCACGAUCUCGCUCGAAACUGUCACUUCCUCGCGAAGAACGAUCCAAUACAAUUCACUAAUGUGUUUUAUUACAAGAGAAAAACUGAUAAAACUAUAUUCCGAUAUUCUACGAUACAAGUGAGGCUAGGGUUUUUACACAUGAGAAAUUAGAUACAUUGACCAAGUCAACCGGGCCUUGACCGCUGCUAAAAUCCAUCAGAAAAGCUCCAAAAAUCGGCCCGGAACAACUCUGCUGGGCGCGGCCGCGCUAAACUAGCGCAGGCGCGCUAGUGGGACAGUAGCUAGCGCGGGCGCGCUAAGAUCUAGCGCGGGCGCGCUACUGUCUGCCACUGGCAGCCCGUUUCUUCGUUUUUUAGCUCGUUCUCGCGUGCAUGCCCUUCCUCGCUCUAGUACCACUUCCGUAGGUGAUCACGGUUGCAUUUAGCACAUGCAACAAGCCCUUUAAACCCCUAGAUAGCUCUAGUGGACGAGUGUGUUCUCGUGAGGGUUUGUAGAAGAUGUACCCACAAAAUCCCAAGUCGUGAUGAAUCCACAAUUCUCUAUUCUUGCAAAUAAUGCACCAAAAACAACCUAAAAUGAUAGAAAAUCACUUCAUCACCUCAACUCGUGACCUGCACAGAAAAACACUAAAAACACAUCAAAAGACACUAAACACUUAAGUACAACCAACCAAUUUAAGUGGAAAUGAAGGCCUAUAAGUGUGUAUAAAUACCACUUAUCACACCCCCAAACUUAAACUGAUGCUUGUCCUCAAGCGUCAACGACACUAUACAAUAAUACAAUGCAAUGCAUGAAUGCAACUACGUGAUGAAUGAGUGAACUAUGAAGUAAUUGCCUUGCCAAUUAUAAUACCUCAGAUUGUGCUAAUGUUCUCGAAUUUCAUCUCUCUCGCUACCAAGUCAAUUACUCUUCUAUUUACAAGUGUGGAGUGCCAGUGUGUGCAAGCAUGCUCUUUUAUUGAGACAAGACAAAAACUACUACUCCCACAGAAUCCCAAUCAAGAAUCGUAAAAGUUUAAAACUAACACCCCGUCACUCAAGUCCAACUAAAAGCCAAGGUCCCAAAGAAUGUCCACACCCUUCUAUUUUAUUCACUACUAUUUUUUUUUCUUUUUUGUCUCUUUUUAUUGGUGAUUAAUUGCUCGGUCUAAGGUCAGAGCGCUUCGCAGUGUAAAUGCGUUACGAACACCACAAGACUUCACACACCAAUUAUUCACUCUAUUCUAGUGGUUUAUUUAACCGUGCAAUGGUUGAGAUCCCUAAAGAUUUAUGCACUAGUACCCAUGUAGCGAGCGUUGGGUCAACAAUCCCAAACCACGAAGGGCUUUAGGUUGUUAGGCACAAAGUCCCCUCAGACUUAAUUACUCGAGUACUAAUGAGCUCAACCUAGUUAAUUCUACCACUUAUUUUUCUAGUGAAUUUAUUACUACUAUUAUUUUUUUUUUUUUUUUUUAUUUUUUUUUUUUUUUUUUUUUUUUUUUUUUUUUUAGAAAGGUAUAUCUACUCCUCAGUUCCCCCAAACUUAAGAUUUACAGACCUAAGCUGAAGGGUGCUCAAUUCAAUCCUAGAAUUCAUGGAAUUUCGUCUAAAUCCUAUCUCAAGAACAUAUGUGAAUUACAAUUUCCAACACAAGCAAUUUCCAAGUACUAACCUAGCAUUGCAAUUGAAACUACUAAUCAAGAACUACGCACAUAACUCAUCAUAGGCAAUUAACUUGGCUUAACUUCAUAAUUCAUGCAAAUGCUCGUGAUACUAACUACGACAAUUACCACUAAACAUGUAAAAUAAUAAAAAAAAAUGAGAAAACUAGGAAGAAAACGUGAGAAAAAAAAAAAAAAAACGUGAGAAAUAAUCAAAGCAAAAUAAAAUAAACGUGAACUACAUGAACUAACUAACACAUGCAAUAAAAUAUAUAAUAUAUGCUCUUCCUUAGAUUACCACCCCCAAACUUAAAAUUUUCAAUGUCCCCAUUGAAAGUGAUAAAAAGGCUAGAGCACCCACAUACCUACUCGGAGCCCGAGUCCUCCCCCUCCUCUGCUGGAGGUGAAUCAGGUGGAGGAUACUGCAUCCCUGCUCCGAAUACUGGCCACUGAACUGUGACCCCCUGUGCCUGGAAAGCACUACCUAGAGCCUGUGUCAAGUCAAACGCAAACCUCUGGUGGAUGUCAUGCAUGGUGUCCAUCCGUCUCGCUAGUCGGCGAUAAUGAACAUCUCCCAUCGGUUCGGAGCUCCUCUCCGUCUGAGAAGUACCAGCUCCAGAAGCUCUAGUCUGCUCCCUCCUCACAAAUGCUGGACGUCCCCCUGGCAUCUCAUCAUAUAUGUAUCCUAGGCCUCGAGGGUGGGGAACUCCUCCUUCCCACUCUGUCAUCCGACUGAUCGCCGAAUGAUCAAUAGGUGUUGCCGGCAACUGUAAUUGCUCGUUGGCUGGCCAACGCACACCACUCGAUCGACAGAGCUUCGUAACAAUUGUGCCAUAUGGAAUGGCACCAGUGGUUCCUCCCUGUAAGAACCUCAGAAUCCCCUGAUGAAUAACAUGUCCCAGAUCAAUAUACUUGCCCGAGACAAUCCCAAAUAGCAGAAUAGCUCUAUCCACUGUCACCUCAUGCCCAUGUGAAGAUGGCAUGAUGUUAGCACAGAUGAAGGCGUUCCACGCCUUCGCAUACCGGUUCAACGCGGCUGCAGGAAAAGAAACAUGUGCCGGCAAAGGAGGUGCAGUCAUCUUCCAAGUCGUGUCCGGCACACACAUAUCAUACACCAACCGCUCAAAAUCUAUCGGAUCAUCAUCAAACCGGCGUUUAGCACGCCCGAUCCUCUCCACAACCCAAUCUUCUUCAUUACGGCGCUUGGCACGCCCCCACUAANNNNNNNNNNNNNNNNNNNNNNNNNNNNNNNNNNNNNNNNNNNNNNNNNNNNNNNNNNNNNNNNNNNNNNNNNNNNNNNNNNNNNNNNNNNNNNNNNNNNNNNNNNNNNNNNNNNNNNNNNNNNNNNNNNNNNNNNNNNNNNNNNNNNNNNNNNNNNNNNNNNNNNNNNNNNNNNNNNNNNNNNNNNNNNNNNNNNNNNNNNNNNNNNNNNNNNNNNNNNNNNNNNNNNNNNNNNNNNNNNNNNNNNNNNNNNNNNNNNNNNNNNNNNNNNNNNNNNNNNNNNNNNNNNNNNNNNNNNNNNNNNNNNNNNNNNNNNNNNNNNNNNNNNNNNNNNNNNNNNNNNNNNNNNNNNNNNNNNNNNNNNNNNNNNNNNNNNNNNNNNNNNNNNNNNNNNNNNNNNNNNNNNNNNNNNNNNNNNNNNNNNNNNNNNNNNNNNNNNNNNNNNNNNNNNNNNNNNNNNNNNNNNNNNNNNNNNNNNNNNNNNNNNNNNNNNNNNNNNNNNNNNNNNNNNNNNNNNNNNNNNNNNNNNNNNNNNNNNNNNNNNNNNNNNNNNNNNNNNNNNNNNNNNNNNNNNNNNNNNNNNNNNNNNNNNNNNNNNNNNNNNNNNNNNNNNNNNNNNNNNNNNNNNNNNNNNNNNNNNNNNNNNNNNNNNNNNNNNNNNNNNNNNNNNNNNNNNNNNNNNNNNNNNNNNNNNNNNNNNNNNNNNNNNNNNNNNNNNNNNNNNNNNNNNNNNNNNNNNNNNNNNNNNNNNNNNNNNNNNNNNNNNNNNNNNNNNNNNNNNNNNNNNNNNNNNNNNNNNNNNNNNNNNNNNNNNNNNNNNNNNNNNNNNNNNNNNNNNNNNNNNNNNNNNNNNNNNNNNNNNNNNNNNNNNNNNNNNNNNNNNNNNNNNNNNNNNNNNNNNNNNNNNNNNNNNNNNNNNNNNNNNNNNNNNNNNNNNNNNNNNNNNNNNNNNNNNNNNNNNNNNNNNNNNNNNNNNNNNNNNNNNNNNNNNNNNNNNNNNNNNNNNNNNNNNNNNNNNNNNNNNNNNNNNNNNNNNNNNNNNNNNNNNNNNNNNNNNNNNNNNNNNNNNNNNNNNNNNNNNNNNNNNNNNNNNNNNNNNNNNNNNNNNNNNNNNNNNNNNNNNNNNNNNNNNNNNNNNNNNNNNNNNNNNNNNNNNNNNNNNNNNNNNNNNNNNNNNNNNNNNNNNNNNNNNNNNNNNNNNNNNNNNNNNNNNNNNNNNNNNNNNNNNNNNNNNNNNNNNNNNNNNNNNNNNNNNNNNNNNNNNNNNNNNNNNNNNNNNNNNNNNNNNNNNNNNNNNNNNNNNNNNNNNNNNNNNNNNNNNNNNNNNNNNNNNNNNNNNNNNNNNNNNNNNNNNNNNNNNNNNNNNNNNNNNNNNNNNNNNNNNNNNNNNNNNNNNNNNNNNNNNNNNNNNNNNNNNNNNNNNNNNNNNNNNNNNNNNNNNNNNNNNNNNNNNNNNNNNNNNNNNNNNNNNNNNNNNNNNNNNNNNNNNNNNNNNNNNNNNNNNNNNNNNNNNNNNNNNNNNNNNNNNNNNNNNNNNNNNNNNNNNNNNNNNNNNNNNNNNNNNNNNNNNNNNNNNNNNNNNNNNNNNNNNNNNNNNNNNNNNNNNNNNNNNNNNNNNNNNNNNNNNNNNNNNNNNNNNNNNNNNNNNNNNNNNNNNNNNNNNNNNNNNNNNNNNNNNNNNNNNNNNNNNNNNNNNNNNNNNNNNNNNNNNNNNNNNNNNNNNNNNNNNNNNNNNNNNNNNNNNNNNNNNNNNNNNNNNNNNNNNNNNNNNNNNNNNNNNNNNNNNNNNNNNNNNNNNNNNNNNNNNNNNNNNNNNNNNNNNNNNNNNNNNNNNNNNNNNNNNNNNNNNNNNNNNNNNNNNNNNNNNNNNNNNNNNNNNNNNNNNNNNNNNNNNNNNNNNNNNNNNNNNNNNNNNNNNNNNNNNNGUCCAGACGACAUCAUUGAAUUUGAAAGUGUCACAGAUCUCUAUAAAAUUACGUAUAUGCAUAUUAGGGUCUUCAGUAGGAGAACCCCCAAACUGUACCGAGUUCUGGACCAUUUGAAUAGUUCCUGGUUUGAUUUCAAAGGCAUUGGCUGCGAUUGCAGGCCUGACAAUGCUUGACUGGAUAUCAUCGAUCUUUGGCAUAGAGAAAUCCUUCAAUGCCUUACUGUCUGUUUGUGCUUCAGGUUCUGUCAUUUUUUCAGAAUCAGAAGAAGAAGAUGAAGAUGAAUCAAUUGCUUUUUUACGAGCUUGAGAACGUGUUAGUAAAAACGCGAUCCAAGUACCUGAAAUAAAGAAAAGAAGAAAAGUGAGAAGAGAAUAGAAUCCUAGUCAGUGAAUUUUAAUGCACACUGAUGACAAGUACAUAAACUAAUUAAUUAACACCGAGUCCCCGGCAGCGGCGCCAAAAACUUGUUCGCAAAAAAUCUACACGCAAGCGCACGUGAUCACAAGUAAUAUAUUAAGUUCGAUCCCACAGAGACUGGUGAAUUAAGAAUACGCACCUAUGCAACAAUGUAUGAUCAAUUUUCACUGCCAAGACAAUUAACAAGGAUGGUUUCUUUUAUACUAAUAACUAAAAUUACUAAUCAAAUUCAGAAUAGGAAAACACAUGGGAUUCUAACUUCAUUAUCGAAUUCAUCUAGAAUUGAAAUUACUGAUUAAUAUGCGACUGUUGAUCCUAAUCAGACAACACGAAAGUAAUACAUGCCAACUCUCGUUGCACACAUAUCAUACCAAUCGAAAUCCACAAUUAAGAUAGAAAUCUCAUGGACACCAACAAAGCUCAGACCCUAUAUCUCUAUAGCGGUAGUGUAAGCAGAGAGGUUUAAUAGCAAGUCGUCUAUCGUGAUUACACAGGGUGAUAAAAAUAGUUCAAGUCUACCACAAAUUAUGUUUCAUUCACAUAAUCCUAUGUUUACAUGGCAUAGUUCUAAAUUCAAUCAUCCACUCUCGCUUCAGAAAGAAUUAACAAACAACUUAGAAGUUAGCUACACUCCUAAGAAGAAUAAGCACGGCUCAUGCAAAGAAAUCAACGUACGUCACACAAUCAAGUAAUUAAUAUUCGAUACUAGAUUACAUCGAUAAAUCCAUUAGAAUCCCAUGAAGGCGGUUAGUUCAUAAUCGAGCUAAUCGACAUCAUGGGUUCUAAUGAAAACAUGAUAAAUAAAAGACAAGAAUUAAACGGAAUAAAAAUGCUUGAAUUAAUAAUAAUAAGGAUCACACGUUACAGAUUUGAUGUUCACGAUCUUGCUCGAAACUGUCACUUCCUCGCAAAGAACGAUCCAAUACAACUGAUAAUGUGCUUUGAUACAAAAGAAAACUAACUAUGAAAUUGUUUCGAUAUUCUACGAUAAAAACUACUUCUCCGAGGCUAGGGUUUUUACACUUGAGAGAUUAAAAUGCUUUGACUAAGUCAACCGGGCCUCGUCCGCUGCGAAAAUCCAUCAGCAAAGCUAUAAAAAUCGGCCCGGAACACUUCUGGAGGGCGCCACCGCGCUAUACUAGCGCGGGCGCGCUAGUGGCAGCAGUAGAUAGCGCGGGCGCGCUAGAGGUUAGCGCGGGCGCGCUACUGUCUGCCACUGGCAGCCCAAUUCUUCGUUUUUCAGCUCGUUCUCGCGUGCAUGUCCUUCCUCGCUCUAGUACCACUUCCGUAGGUGAUCACGGUUGCAUUUAGCAUAUGCAACAAGCCCUUUAAACCCCUAGAUAGCUCUAGUGGACGAGUGUGCUCUCGUGAGGGUUUGUAGAAGAUAUACCCACAAAAUCCCAAGUCGCGAUGAAUCCACAAUUCUCUAUUCUUGCAAAUAAUGCACUAAAAACAACCUAAAAUGAUAGAAAAUCACUUCAUCACCUCAACUCGUGACCUGCACAGAAAAACAAUAAAAACACAUCAAAAGACACUAAACACUUAAGUACAACCAACCAAUUUAAGUGGAAAUGAAGGCCUAUAAGUGUGUAUAAAUACCACUUAUCACUUACUUUGUAUGAUUUACUGAUACUAUUGGCAUGUGAAUAUCGCAUAUAUGCCUUUUUUUUCUUUUUUUUGUAAGAGUGUUUUUCUUUCUCCGUGAUAAUAUUUCGAGCCCUCCUAGGUACGCAAACACAAAGCAGGAAUAAAUGAUAUAAGUUGUGGAAGGGUUAGAGUAGCACUCUUAAAUGGGAAUGGGAAUGAGGGGUAUGAGAUUGUGUAUCCUAGGGAGUGUAAGGAAUGAAGUACCAUCCAAGUGGGAUUGGGAUUCCUCAUGUUACAAAAUUGUUAAUCCAAACACCAACAUAUAGGUUUGAGGUUCCGAUUCCCGUUAACCGGAUUCAUUAACCAUUAACCAAACGCCUCCUCAAAUUGUUAAAACCUCGGCGAGGCGAUUACAAGAACCAAACAUGGUAUAUUAGUAUCUAGAAGAGUGAAAAAAAUACAGCAGGCAUGGCUGCAAUUGCAUCAGGUAAAUAGAGUGGAGAAGCGCCGGCAACUGGCCCUGGUGCAGGUCUGGGUGCUUCAGCUCAUGCCGCUACAUGACUAGCAACAAGCACUAGGACCAUCACUGAGAUUGCAACAACAUUGGCAACCUGAGAACCUUCCAUAGCUCUCUGAAUUCUAAAGUUUCAAAAGGAAAAGUACGCGAAAGCAGAGAAUAUGUAUACUAGUGAAGCAAGGUUGAAAGGUUUGUGCCAGUAGAGGAUGAUGGAUUACAAGGGGAUGCUAAGAGAGAACCAGCCAGUUGUGUUCUAGGCUCUUAUAGUUUUUAAAGAUUGUUAUAGGCUUAUAAGUUUCCACAGAUGUGUAAUCAUUUCCAGGUGCAUGUGAUGAUAGACAAACGGCCGGCUAGAUUAUAUUUCUUAUCAUCUGAAUUAUUAUAAUUAAGUGUUAAGAAAAUAAGAAACAGCCGCCUAUGUUCGAAUCCACAAAACCCACCUAUAUACAAAACAUUCCCAUUCUGUUCACCCUUUCAUAACUUUAAGCUGCUAGUAACUUUUUCCUAGGAGUUCUGGGGUAUCUCAAGACAUUCUGCAUCUCAAGCAGCUCUUGUUAACUGUGUUUUUAAUUGUUUAAUUAUUUAUAUGAGCAACCGGCAAAAUAUUAUUUUAUUAUGUUUAUAUUUUGAAUGUGUUUCAUUAAAAAAAUUCAAUUAUAAUAAAGGAAAAUUAAGUUGAUAAGUAAGAAAAUGGGUGAGAUAACAUGUCAAUAAAAUAUCAUCAAAAAUUUUAUCGAUAUAUAAUCAUCACGGACUUGUCAAUAUUUGGUAAUUCUGCUUUACCAUCAAACUUUUAUAAAAUUCUAAUAAUCAUCAAUACACAAUGAUGCAAGUUUCAACAUUCUAAUUGAUUUAUUAUAAUAUCAUGAAACUUAUUUGUAAUUUUUAUAAUAUAUUUAUAUUUAUCGAAUGUAAUAUAUGGAUAACAUAUUAUUGUAGUAUUUAUCUAGCAUAGUUCAAAAUAUCUCGUAAUGACGGAUGACAUAUACUAAACAUACAUACGAUAUUCUUUUGUUUUCUCCAAAAUCUUAAAGGAUCAUCAUAAGAAUUUUAUUAUUUUAGUUAGAAGCAGAGAAAACUGGGUUUAAUAUAACAAAUCAUCACAUAGUUAGUAGCAGACAAAAUAUGAAUGAUUCCAAUAUUUUUGUUUCACUAGUUUAUUCAUAAAAAGCGCUGUAGGAAUCAAAGUCACGUAGUUUUCAUUGUUUGGUACAGAGGAAGUUUUCAUAUGUUCGUUCUCUUUGUUCAAAUGCGCUUUUGUAUGUUAUAGUUGUCCUUACCUAAAAUUUCAAAAUAAUAUUAAAAAUUUUGUCAAGUUUUUCAACAGACCUAAUUGCAAAAUGGUUCAGUCUAGACUAACUGUGUUUUGUUACUAAUUAUAUAGUGUAUUCUUAACAUAUUUAAAGCCGAAUUUUGAAUCUUCUAGCUCAUCUAUUACUUAAAAUUCAGGUAACAAAGUGCAGUAUAGUUAACCUGAAUCAAUUAAAAUUUUGUGAGAUAAUAGUAUUAAAUCAAUCAUCAAAAACAUGAUCAGGAGUGUUAUGCAUUAGCACUGAUACAAAGUGUUAGUGCAGUGAAAAGAAGAGAAAAUUGCAAGGACAAGCAGAACAUUCUUGAUCCCAUUUCAUUCAUUGUUACACAAACAAGAGACAGUUGGCAUGUUGUUCCCUCUUCUCCAUUGAUCCUAACUUAAGUUGUAAAACACAAACUUCGCUCUCUCCAAAUUGGAUCAACCACUUUAGAAAAAACUCUGAAAACCGCAAUGGAGAGUUUCAAGAUUGCUAAACUUUUUACCAUGUGCAUUAUGGUUCUUGUUAAUUACUUUUUCUAAUCUGGGAGCCUCGGCUGUACCUGAAGAUGUUGCAGCACCUGCAGUACUAUCACCAACAAGUGCUGGAGCAGCCUUGUGUGUACCAGCUGCUCUUGCUGUCCUGGCUUCUCUCGUUUCUUAUGUCUUUUAGUUAUUUCGUUCCAUGACUUCUUGGGUACAUGGAGAUGUUCUAAAUAUUCCUUUUGAGCUGUAAUCUGGUGACUUUGCUCUGACAUUGUAAGACACAGAGAUGUUUUGACAAUAUAGCAAAAUCACAUAACAGAGAAUUCAAAUUUAUAAUAGAAACUUGAACUAGUGAUAGCAGAGAGACUUGCUAGAUAUGAAUUGUGACCUCAAUGUAAGACAGAAAAUCCGAUCUCACCAUGCAAGACUACGCUGAAAAUAGGAGAUAAAUUAGACGACCAUGAACACUUAAUUUUUUCCUUAGAACUUAUCUCGAAUGAUCAACACAUAAAUUAUCAAAAAGGUAUUUAUCAAAAUACUAUUUUUUGUAAGUUUUUUCACAAUUUUACUAUCUUCUGAAACUAAUUGCAAAUAUAUUAUGCAACUUUCGAUUUUUAAAAAAAAUAUAUUAUCUUAACAAAAAUGAUGCAAGACAAACAAUUAUGAUAAACAACGGGAGGUAGGGGCAGAGAGAGUUGAGUUGGUGGGCGAGGCAAAGGGCUGCAAGCAUAGGAAGAGGAAGAGGAAGAUGAUGAUAUAUGAGCUGAUUUGAUUAUGUUUUUUUCCUGAUUGCAUGAGAAUUAAGUAAAGAGAAAUUCCUAAUGGUACCAUUGUAGAAUUGGUUUUUCCAAAUGGUACCAAUGACUAUUUUGGACUUCCAAGUGGUAACACCCAACUUUUGACUUCAUCCAUCACAUACCACUCCGUUUAGUUAACGUUAAUAAAACGUUAAUCCAUUGUGAUUUAAUUAAAAAAAGUAAUUAAAAUAAAAUGAUUUAAAAGUAAAAAACAUGAACUUGGGUUAUUAGUCGGGUACCAAAGUUUAGUGUAUAUGAACCAAACACACACGCAAAAUUAGGGUUUCAUGGAAAGAGAGGAUCGAUCGAGAUAGUGUACAAUACAUCCACUCGCCACUUAAUUCAACACUGAUCAAAGUAUAAGGUAUGCAUUUCACCUUCAAUUACUCUAUAUAAUCGAUACAUAUAUAUCUUUGGCGGCUUAAUUCAUUGUUUUAGGGUUUAUCUGUGUAUAUGUGCGAGUUUAUCUGUGUGUAUGUGUUUAUGUAUGAUACUGAACAAUUUUUGACUCCCCUGUAAAUGAGGUUUUUUGGGUUUGCAUAAUAUACAUUGAUAUGUAUAAUACUCAUAACUGUUAACUGGUGCAUUGGGUGUAAUAUGAAUGUCAUCAUAUGUGCAGAUGGGGAAAGUAUUAAUUUUUCACUGGAUGGGUACUCAAGUAGAGGUUAAGGUUGAUUUAGAUAAAACCACACUGCUGGAUAUUAUUGUUGAGUAUGAAGAGUUAGGGAAAAAACAGAGGUUGAGGUUAGAUUAUGCUUAUCCAACAUUUGAUUAUGCAUUUAUGAUGAAGCAUCACAUGUUAGAGUCAGAUAAGGAUUUAAUGAAAAUGUUUGAAAGGUUUUCUGAUGCAAGUGAAAUUCCUAUGUGGGUAGGAACUGUGUUGAAACCAAGUCCUUUAUAUAAAUUGGUUUUGAAUUUGAGAAGAAGACAAUGCAGAACCAAGAGAUAAUGCAGAAUCAGAUGACAAUGUAAUGCCAAAAGUCAAAGACAAUUGGAAACCUGAUCAGUGGCAUGGUUUUAUUGAUGAUGAAGAUGAUAAUGAGUACUCUCAAAGGUUAUACAAAAAUGGAGAACUGUAUGAAGAGAAGGAGUUUGGUAAGAUUGUCUUGAAACCUUGGAUGAUUUUUUUAGAUAAAGCUCAUCUCAAAAAAAAAUUGAAAGAUUAUUGUGUGCAAGAUUAUUGUGUGCAAGUGGCAUUCCAUGUAGGCAUGCCAUGAGGGCUAUGGUUCAUGCAAAAAUUGAUCCACAUUCUGUUGUAAGCACAUGGUAUUCUGUUAGGACAUACAAAUAUUCUUAUAGUUUUAGUAUUAAUCCUAUACCUGACAAGAACCAAUGGCCUGCCUAUGAUAAUCUACCUACUGUCAUGCCGCCUACAAUUAAGAGAGGGAUCGGGAGACCAUGCAGAAACAGAAGAAGGGAGGAAGGAGAAGAUGAAAAGGGGAAAAGAGCAAAAACUGUCAAAUGCACUAAGUGUGGUUGCCUAGGCCACAAUGCAAGAACUUGUAAGGGAGGGUUAACUGCAAAAGAAAAGAAGGCAGAAGAAGAUGGGCCAAUGAUAGUUAGACAUCCCAGAAUUAGCGAUCAAUCCAAUACGGCAAAAGCAGCCAAGGCAUCGCAGAAAAAGGCAGCUCAAGAUCAGGCAAAGAAGGCCAAGACAUCUCAGUCAACUGAAGUUUCUGUUUCUCAAUCACAGCCUCAAAACACUUCUUAAUCAGCUAGAAUUAUGUUGCAUAUUUUGCUUAAUUAUUCAUGCAGACUUGUUGCAUAUUUUGCUUAAUUAUUCAUGCAGACUUAGUUGCAUAUUUUGGGCAUUUUAAUGCAGACUUGUUCAAUAUCUGGAUAUUGUAAUGCAGAACUGUAGGUUGGUAACAGUAUUUUGGAGGGAAAACUCUUCUGAAAUUAUAUUUAACGUUUGCUUAACAUUUCUCUAACAGAGUCUUAUGUGUUGGAAGAAGUCAAUAGUUCAAUGUUACCGUUUGGAAGACCAAAAUAGUGGCUGGCACCACUUGGAAAAGCCAAAUCUACAGUGGUACCAUUAGGAAUUUCCCUUAAGUAAAACUACUAUUGUCUUUCACUCAUUGAAGAACUGUUAACCAAAAAAUUAUUGUUCAUAUAAAAAUUGUGAUCACAGUAGUUAGUUGAUACAUAAACAAUUUUGUUUUCUCUUAUAUCUCAAAACAAAACUAAAAUGCAUGUGAACCGAAAAAAAGAUGAUUUCAACACUGAAAACACGAAAUUUUGCGUUAAAUAUAGAUAUGUGUCAUAUAAUUAGUGUGCGUCUCACCCAACUCAUUUUAGUUAGCAAGCUUCCUCCCUCAUGAAACUUAUAUUUUUCUUUCAUAAGGAUUCCAUUUUCAUUAUUUCUUCCCUGUUAAUAAGUUUACUAUUUGUGAUCAGAAAACGGAAAAGUUCAGUGACCUAAGAUACGGAAUCUUUAGUUCAGGGACCUAGAUAAUAAAACGUCAAUAGUUCAAGGACUUAUAAUUUAAUUUUCUCUUUUCUGAAUUUACAAGAAAGUCAAUAUUUUCAUCAAAAUGUCCGUAAGAAUCAGGUUCAUAAAGUUUUGACGUUUUUCAAGUGUUGGAAAUGGUUUUUGAAUGACGAUAUCAAUUAACAAUGUCAGUGGCUUAUAAUCAUCGAUGCUACAAUGAUGAUCCUCCUGAAGUUUAGUCUUUGAUGGCUAGUGUUUUGCUAAUACUUGGCCUGGAAGAUAAUCUUUGUUUCAUUCCAAAUAAUUUUUGUCUAGCGAUAUUUUCACUUUAAUCAACAACAGAGAAAGAGUCCUCUCCUUGUCUGAAUGCUCUUGUACUUGUAUAUGACAUUUUAAACUAAAUAAAAAUGCCAAAUAUUUCUUGUUAUCAAGAGCAGAAAUAUUUCUGUUGGGAUAAAUAUGUAAACAUGCUUAAUUACUUGUUAUGAUUUUAAUGUUGUAUUAUCAAACUUAUGUUAUUCUGUUCAUAUAGCAGUGACUAGUAACUACUACAUGUGUCUGGGUUAUAUUUCUUUAAUCUAUAUGAUUAUAUAAUUAAAUAAGAGGAGAACAUGAAUACAUGAUCAUUAGGUGCAUUAGCACUGAUACAGAGUGUUAGUGGAGUAAGAUGCAAUGAAAAAAAAUCUAAUGACAGCCGAAACAACCUUGAUUAUUUGUUAAACAAACAAGAAACAGUUGGCAUGUCCUUGUGAAGUCCACAAGACCAACCUAUAUAAUGCAUUGCCAUUCCCUUCUCCAUUCAUAACUUAGUGGCAAAACACACUUUUAACUCUAUCCCUAUUGUGUUAAGCACUUCAGAAAAAGCUUUGGAAAACGCAAUGGAGAGUUUUAAGAUUGCUAAAGUUUUUACCAUCUGCAUUAUGCUUGUUGCUUUCUCCAAUUUGGAAGCCUCAGCGGCGCUUGAAGACGUUGCAGCACCUGCACCAUCACCAACAAGUGCUGGAACAGCAUUGUACGUACCAGCAGCACUUGCUGCAGUGGCUUCUCUCGUUGCUGCAGUGGCUUCUCUCUUUUAAUUUUUUUUGUUUAUCUAAUCUUUGGGUAUGUGUGGGUGUCCUGUAUCCUUUUGAGUGGUUAUCUGGUAUUGAAUUUGCAUAAGUAUUUAAGGAGGCAAGAUUUAUCCAUUUAUAUAAACAGAAAAAUGAGCAAUAUUUCUAAUCUUAUAUAUGUAAAUCUCAUAAGCUAGACACGUACUCCUGCAGUUUUGGCUUCUGCUAUACACAGAACAGAGAUUUAAUGCAAAAAAAAUGAUGACCAAAAUGACUUACAGAGAAAGAUCGUAUUUCUUCAAAAACCUGCUACAUAAAGAUGAAUACUGACCACACCUCAGACACGCGCCAAAUUGGUCAAAGUUAGCAUAAAUCACUUAACCUUCUAUUUACUUAUACAAAGAGCAAGUCCAAGAGAUGUCAUAUAUCAUGUCCUAAGUUAUAAUUUAGGGCAAUUGAUGAAAAACCAACAAUGUCCUAGUGAUGCCUUAUAUCACUAGGACAAACUUCUCCGGCCCUAUUUUUGGGGCACAUCUCUCCUUGCCCUAUUCUAUAUUUUAUUAUAAAUUCUAAUCAACACUCUAUUUCUCUUUCUACUUUUCUAUUAUGCUUUAAUGAUGAAAGAGAGUAUUUUAAUAAUAAAAUAUUAGACAUAUUGUGAAAAUAAGAUACAUUGUUAGAGUUCAAGUUAGUAAAAUAUGUCCUAAGUUACUUGUGGACAUGAUAUUUUAUAUUAUAUUUGAGACUUGAACUAGGACAUUUUUGGACUUGCUCUUAGCCCCUAACAGGCGAGGUAUAACAAUUUACCAGAUUAGCUUGAAGAACACGGAUUUACCGACAACCAAAAAGUUCAAAUUAUCUAAAUGGACGCCAACAAUUAGUGUAAAAAACCGAGGGGAAUGCUAGGCACCUUAAAUUAUUUUCCCAAAAAUGCUCCCCAAAUAAGUGAUGUGUCAACUUGAGAUGAUUAUAUUGGGGGGUUGAUAUAACUGCAGGGAGUUCAUGUCUAUUUAAUGGCUCGAUAUCCAAUCAGAAGAUGACACGUGAAAUGUGGAAAAUUUUUGGAGAAAUUUUUUGGGUACUAGCAUUUUCCAAAAACUAAUACAAGCUAAAAAUUUGUGACAGCUAAUAAGCUAAGAUUAGGGUUGUGUUACUUCAGUUUAUUUGAAAGAAUAUUUACGAAGCAAGUAGCAAGUAAAGUAUUGAUAGUUUAGAAUUGAUUAUGAGAUCUUAAUAAAUGAUUAGUUGCUAAGAAUUCUGAAAUAUAGUUUAUGUACUGUACAAGAUUUUUAGUUGAUAUAAAAUUUAAAAUAUAGUAGUAUUAAAAUAUUAAAAGGGUAGCAAUCUUUGCAAUCCGUGAGACAAGACGUAUCAUAAAAAAACUAACCAACUAUAAAUUCGUUAGUUGAUAUAAAUAAUUUUGAUAUCUCCUAUGUCUCACACCUAUUUUAUUUAAUAAAAAUAUGAAAAUAACAAUAUAAAUAGUUUAAAUGUAAUUUUUUAAAUUAGAACAAUGAAAUAAAUAAUUAAAAUAUUAAAAGAGUAGCAAUCUUUGCAAUCCGUAAGACAGUACACAUCAUAAAAGAAUUAACCAACUAUAAAUUCAUUAGUUGAUAUAAAUAAUUUUGUUUUCUCCAAUAUCUCACACCUAUUUUAGGUAGGGGUGUUCGCGGUGCGGGCGGUGCGGUUUUUUCCUAAAACCGCGAACCAACCCGCGAAUGCGGUUUGAGAAAAUUCGUAAACCGUAACCGCACCGCGUAAUGUAAAAACCGCGUAAACCACACCACAAGAUUACGGUGCGGUGUGGUGCGGUUUGUGUGGUUUAUACAUUCAGAAAAAUUAUACUUUUGAAUGACAAUCACUACAACAAAACUGAAAUCAGACAACACUAAUCAGACAACGGACCCUGAAAAAAGUGUUGGCCGAAACAAAGACACAACACUUUAUUUUCGUCCUCGAAAAACUAUUGUCUAACACCUACGACCUACAACGGUUAAAAAACUGUUGUCUAGUAAAUUUAAUGAGACAACGGUAUCUUAAUUGUGGUAUUGUGUAAUGAUGCACGUUAGACAACUGUUUUUAGAGCUGAUGUGUGAAGAAACUUCAGACAAUAUUUCAAAAAACCGUUGUUGUAAUUAGACAAGUGUUUUAUUUGUUGUGUUGUUUACGAGGAGUUCAAACAAGGGUUCCAUAUAGUGUUGUGUGACUGGAAAACUAACAUACAAGUGUUUUAGAUAGCAUCGUAUCUAAACCUUAUAGACAAGCCUUUAACUCAUUACAACAGAUUCAGCAUCACACAACGGUUUUUGCCCGUUGUCUGAGACCACGAAAAACCGUGGUCUAUCGAGACGCCGUCUGAUAUGCGUAUCAGACAACGGUGCGCACCGUUGUGUGAUAGUGCUGAACACGAUGGUUUACGUUGAAAAAAUUGUUGUGCAACACCCAGAACCAACAAUGUUUUCUAUUAAACGUGGUGUUGUUAGAAAUUCUUCUUAACAAUAGUUGCUUUCAAAAAUAAUGUUGUUAGAGUGGCAAUCCACAACAGUUUUAGUUUCUCCAGACUUGUUGAAAGGAGGAUCAUACAACGAUACUUAACAAGGGCAUGCUUGUUGUUUAUGCUUGACUACAACGGUUACUGAUAUAAAGGUUCUUGUUUAAGAACUGUUCUUACAAUACUUUGUCUUUUCAAUUGUUGUGCUAAAUCCUUCAUACAUCAAUUUUUCCAACAAAAUAGCUUGACGAAUAUGUCUUUAGACAACGUUUUAUUUAGAAAGGUCCAAUUGUGUAAGGACCCUUUUCACAAUAUGAGCAUUUUUAAAGUGUUGUGUGAAAUCUCUUAUACAACGGCUUAUGGUCAAGACAAGCUCGUCCAAAUAUAUGUUUACACAAGGCUUUUGGUUUUUUGUAAUGUUGUUUGUACAUUUCUUAGACAAUGGAUUCCAUCUCCAAAUGCCUUUGUCUUUGCGCAUCUUAGACAAUGGUUUUUGCUCUCAUUACUCUUGUUAAUCAUUCGUUUAGACAAUGGUUUUAAAAGAUGGGGAUGAUUGUUUAAGUUCUAUGAGACAAUAUUCUUUUACCACCGUGAGCAUUGUAUUAUGUUAUCUAUAACAAUUGUCAUAUAUAUUUCCCAUUAGCUAAAAGUAUAAAAGACAAUGGUUUUUAUCAAAGUGGCCGUUGGAUCAUGUGACUUGUACAAUGGCCAUAUACAUGUCCCCAUUAGCUAAAAAUGAAACAGACAAUACUUUUUCAUUACAUAAAAAACUAGGCUAGAGAAUGAAAUCAAUGCCGUCAAAAAUUAGUAAAUAAAAUAUUCAUUACCAACAUCAAAAGCCACCACAUACCAACAAUCUUCACAAUUUAUCCAACUAUGUUUCCAACCAAACAUAAAAGCCAAACCGAUUCAAAAACCAACUAAUAUUCACAUAUCAUCCAACAAUACUAACCAAGGCAAACGCACCUAACAAUCCAAAAACCCACCAACAGAUUCUACCAAUCUUGACACGACAAUGUCUUGUAUUUUCGGAUGCACAUAUCCAAAAAAGACAUACAUGGAUAUAACUUAAGUCUAAAUUUAGGCAAAAUAAGCCAUGUAAUAAGUCCCAAUAUAUAUAAAUNNNAACCCCAAGAUUAAAAACAAAAUCAACGGUCAGAUGCAUGGUCUCUAUAUAUAUAUAUAUAUAUGUGCAUCCGAAAAUAAUCAGUCCUCUACGCAGCCUAACUAGCAUGCUGCCUCAUGAAGUACUUUGCCCAGGCACUCCUGGUCUCAUUGAGAUCAUCGCUAUCAAAGACAAGAUUGCUCCUCCGUGCCCACUGAAAUAAGGAAAAUUGUUAGAGAAAGUCAUAGUUUUUAGCACAAAACACAAGAACAUAGAAACAGAAUGUUUAUACCUUGGAUGCAAACUUGAGUUCCUUGUCUAUACAUAUUUCUCUCAUAUAAAGCAUCACAAAAAGACCACAAUCAGUGGUCCCAGUCUGGGCAGGAAUACCCUGAAAAAUAAAACGGUCACAUGUCUACCCUACACUUAUAAAGAUCAAUUAAUUUACUAAGACUUGGGUUAUAAAAAUAAUUAUAUCGCUAAAUUCUCCCAAUUUAUUUUCUUCUUCAGAAACCUCUUCACAUCCUCCUUGUAAAUUUUUAUGCCACUACAACAAAAUUUAAUAAAUGAGCAUAAAGACAUUUCUUCAAUUAAUUAAGAAUUAACAGAUCUUCGUACUCACUUGUUAACAACUUCAAUCCAUUCUUCAUUUGCAAUUCGCCACUUUAACGGGUCCAAGUGAUAAACCAUUUGUGCAUCGGGAUUUACAACAGUAAGUGCCCAGUGGUUCCUAGACAAUAAAAACCAAGCAAUAUAUAGACUUAAACAUGUCCAAAAAUAAAACUUUAUGCUAAUAAUAUACAUGGUAAAAAGGAGACAAAAAAGUGUACUUACGUGUGGUGAUAUGGCAAAAGAAAGACUUGGGAUGGCUUAGCACUUUUGAAUCUGAGAGCAAGGGCGCGUGACCUCGCUGCUGGAGUACCACAACCAAGAGCCCCAAUCUUGGCUGGAUCAACAAAAGAUAUCAUGUCUGUCAUUUUGUGCUUUCUUAAAUUUUCCUGGAGUAUACUGCAUAAAAGAAGUAGAAAAUCAUAACAAAAAAAUCAAAAUUCCAUUCAAGAAGUAAAAGAAAAGACAACAAAAAAAUAGAAUAGGAGCACUCACUUGAUAAACAUGCAAAUGACAGUUCCUGAUAUUUCACCUCCAAAGCACACAUCACUUAUGUCGGAUUUAAACAAACACUUUUUAUCCGAUGAUCCAAAAGCUUCUUCGGAUAACUUGAACGCCUAUGAACGACCAUCCUUCAAAGCAUCGCUUGCCCAAAGCCACAAUUUUUUCAAAGUAGGAGGGAAGUCAGGGCCCAUAUUAACCACUGGCUCUGGUUCCGAGACCAAGUCAUUCACCUUCUUCAUUUUUCUUGGGCCAUUCUUCUUGCCUCCCUAUAAGGAUAUUUAUAAUUUUUUCAACUAAUUAAUGUAGAAUAUAUAAAGCUAUUAGUACAUUAUAUUCAGAUAUUUUUCUCAAAUAGCACACUAUAUUUAGCUAUUUUUCUCAAACAUGUAGCUAUUUUUCUCAAAUAUUACACUAUACUUAGCUAUUUUUCUCAAAUAUGUAGAUUUGAACAAGAUAAAUGACAAAGAAAAGAUGGAGCUGUUAAGUACCUUCACUGCUCGAGACUUCACCCGAUCACUGUUUGCCUUCACUUCCAGUAACAUGUUUUUUCACUUCCCGUAACAUGUUUCUCGGCCAUGCAAUGAAAGUUCCAACAUCUUGAUCUACUGUGAUGAUUUCAUCAUCAAUUGGGAAUGGGAUCUCAGCAGCUCCCUGGAUAACACGAGUAAUUGAUACUCGUACGUUAUCUCCUCCAAGUGGCUUCCCAUGAAGAACAACAGUGACAAAGUCAACUGUUGCAUGAGCAACAAUGUUGGUUGGGGUUCCAAUUGCUAACUCCCAUAGAAUACCUUCAUUUUCCUCAUCCACUUCCACAUCCUUGUCCUCAACUACAAGAUACUCAACUCCCUUCUCUUCACCACUGCUCUUUAAUUCAGCAACAUCUUUUUCUUUACCCUUGUUCUUCUCUUCAUCAUCAACUUCAUGAAAAUCAAUCUCAGCUUCUUUCCCGUUAGGAGAUUCAUUGAGAUCCUAUUUCUUUUUAACAGCUGUCAAUUGCAGCACAUUCUCAAGUCCUCCUUUUGAACAACUUCCUUGUUGUGAUCCAAUAUUUGGACUCCCAUCAACUUGUUGUGAUCCAAUAUUUGGACUCCCAUCAAUCUUUAUACUUAAAGCUUCUUUCAGCUUUGCUNCAUCAGUCGACAACUGAUGUGAAAACCUUACUCACACAUCAUUUUUUACUGAUAUUCAGAUGUCUAUGCCACCAUUUCUUACAAAAUAUAUUACUUUUACUUAAGUUUAUACUAAAGUUACUUUUUUUUCUCUUCUGUCUUGGCAGAUUAAAAUAGUUGGAUUGCUUAACAUAACUCCCCUGACCACGCACCCGUCCUCGGUGCUCAGAGUUACCAAGAACCUUGGUCAAGACAUCAUUAGUGCCUUCCUCUGUCACUUCCCCCUCUUCAACUUUCUUCUUCAUCUUCUCCUACAAUUAAACAAAAAGUAAUAAGUCAUCAUUUAUACGCCAUAUUUGAACAGAAAAAGUAAAACUCUAAGAUAACCAAAACUUAACAUAAUUAUCACAGAUGGAAAAUAAAAAUAGACAGCAUCCAAAUUUUAUUUGGUAAACAAGCACUUACAAUUUCUUCAGCUAUGGUUACAAGUUUUUCUGUCUUGUAGUUCCCAGCUUUAUCACACCGCGCACGGAGCCAUGUACUUGCUCGGUCUAUCUCGAUUUCAGGAUCACCACCAGACUACAUGUUCAUUUAAAAAAUUAAAAUCAGAACAUAAUUAAACAAUGUAAUUGAAAUUAAAAUCACUUAUAUUAAUGAUCACUAACCAUUUCCUGUUCGAGAUUUGCAUAACCCUUGCGAGACAUGUAGUGACCAUAUUUAUUCAUGCUCUUUAUGUUUUUAUGUUUAUUGUGUAAUUCCUUCAUAAAAACAUAAAAAAAUAUUAGUAACACAGAUAUCUCCCAAUGGGUAUGCAACAAUUUGUAAAUGAAAUAAAUUAAAAACUCACAAGGAAAUCAGGAGAUAAACGGUCAGCUACAAAGAUAUCCCAGUGUGCCUUCUCAAUGAAGUUAUAGUCUGCUGGAGGAGAUUCAAGCAACUCCGGUUGAUCACGAUAUGGAAGAAUAUAAGUCGUUGUUAAACGGCUCUUGAAUUCUCUCCACUUCUGGCACGCGGAUUUCAACACAAUCCGCCUUGCUGUUAAAGGUAUAUCGAACGCCAUCUACAUACAUAAUCAUAUUCAAUAAAUUAGUAGGUAUUCAAGAAUCAAUAAGAAUUAGAAACAUCAUGUAGUUUAAGUCAUGCAACUAAAUUUACCUGCACACAGUCCCAUAUUUUAUUUUUUUUUCUUUCGGAACUCGUUUCCAAGUUUCAUACCAGAUUGGGGCCUUAGUUCUCGCAAGAACCCCAAUAUAGGACUGCAUCUCUCUGGCAACUUUACCAUAUGGCUCACCCUUUGCAUUGAAAGAAACCGCUAACUUGAUUCCCAACAUCUUACGCCUAAGAAUCCGGACCAUCGUAACAGGUCCUCGUUUCAAAUGCUUAACUCCUUGUUCGUUAUCUAUAGGCCCUUCUUCCCUUUGUUUCUGCUUCUUACUCAAUUGCUGUUGUAGAUUUGUAGAAAUGGCCUUCUUCUUUUCAGAUUUAGGUGAAGAACUCUGAGGGGGAGGCUGCACAGUGCUUCCUUUUAAUGCCUUUUUAGCUAGCCCACUUGUCUCCCCUGCAACAUGGUUUUUUGUUGAUGCCUUAAGCUUCUUAGACGUCCCACUUGUCUCUCCUGCUGAAUGGUUUCUUUUUAAUGCCUUCAUAAGGUUGACUUUAGUUGUAUUCAAAGAGGAUCUUGUCUUCCUUGUAGGAGCCAUAAUGACUUUAGUUGUAUUCAAAGAGGAGCUUGUCUUCCUUGUAGGAGCCAUAAUGCUCUGCACACCACAAAAAAUCAUAAACCCCACAAUACUACAUAACCCACAAAAAAGAUACCCAUAAAGACUUCCCAUGACCCACUGUAAUCAAGCAUAAUAAGAUAUUAACACAAAAAAAUCAAUUUGUAAACCCUAAAAACACAAAAUCAUGAACACAAAAAAGGCAUAAUCCUUAAACCCACAAUACUACAUAACCCACCAAAUAAAGACUCACAAACACUGUCCAUAACUCACUGUCCUCAAGACAUAAACCGAUAUUAACACAAGAAUUGAUUUAUAAACCCUAAAAACAAAAAAUCAUGGACACAAAAAAUCAUAAACCCCCAAUACAUUAUAACCCACAAAAUAGAAACCCACAAACAUAACCAUAACCCACUUGAAUCAUGCAUUACAAAUCUUAACCCACAAAACAGAGACUCACAAACAUGACCCAUAACCCACUAUAACCAUUAACCACACAAUUUAAAACUAAACAUAACCCACUGUAAUCAAGCAUCACAAAAUCAAGAACUAAACAUAAAUCUAAAAUUAAAGAUGAGAGAGAGGUACCCAACUUUGAGAGAGAGCGAAGCGAGCACGAGGUGAGAGCGAGAGGGGGGUGGUGAGAGCGAGAGGGGCGACGUGAGAGUUAGAGCGAGAGGGGCGAGGUGAGAGUGAGAGCGAGGCGAGGUGAGAGAUGAGAGUGAAGUGAGAGAUGAGAGAUGAGGCCAAAAAGAGGGUUUUGAAAUCGGUGAAAAAAAAGGGGGGAAGAAACGAGGAUUAAGACAAACAGAACAUCGAGGCUUUAAAUUAUUUUAUUUAUAUUCAGAUAUGUAAUAUCUUUAUUUUUAGACAUAUAAUAUCUUUUAUGUAAAAUUGAAUAUAUAAAUAUUUUUAUAUUUUUUUUAUUAAACUUAAAAAUUAGUAAAGCUUUUUAAAUCUUUUUUAUAUCUUUUUUUAUACAUAUCUUUUUAUAUAUCUUUUUAUAUAUAUCUUUUUCUAUGUAUUUUUAUACAUAUCUUUGUCUAUUAAAUUUGAAAUCAGGAAAGAGUAAGAUCUAGAAACAUGGUCAGACAACGGUUUCUCCUAGAAAGUAUUGUACAUAUAUACACAUAACGGUUUUUUAAACUAAGACGGUUGUCUUAUUCAUACAACGGUUUUGACAAAAAAAUCUUUGUUUGAAGGUUCUUUCUACAACGUUGACUUUAGAAAACGUUGUCCAAAGUUUAGUUAGACAAUACUCUUUUACUUUACAAAUGCUUGUCUGAACCAAAACACUUUUAAAUCCUUAAUUUUGCACGCAAUUAAUUUGUUAACAAAUCGAACUUCCGUUAACGUCCUAAAUAUUGGAUUAUCCCAAACUUACUAAGUGGUAAAAACAAAUUUACCUAGUUUUCUCAUAAUAUUUGUGACAUCGACACGUUAUUAUUGCUGUUUACAAACAUACACACGCUAAUUAGUUCUUACUUACAGGAUAGGCAAUCAAAGUAAAUUACUUUACUUGAUGUAAGUGUUUCAGUUUCUCUACCUCUUUUUGAUAUUAAGAUAUUAAGCAGGUAUCGGAUUGUCAAAAUUAACAACACGUACCAUGUAUAACAAAGAACAUAAACUUCAAAAUAAGAUUGAAAGAUAUUAAUCAAGUAUUGAAUUGUCAAAAUUAACAACAUGUACCAUGUAUAACGAAGAACCCGAACUGGAUCGUAACAUAUCUAUCAUAUGUGAUUCGUGGGACACUCGUUAAUUUAACUACUAACGAGAUAAAACAUGAUGUGUUUGUAAAAAGACAAAAUUGAUUAUUAAAAACAAUGUCGUGUUAGUGAUAUUAAUCAAGUAUUGGAUUGUCAAAAUUGACAACAUGUACCAUGUAUACGAAGAACCCGAAAUGGAUCAUAACAUAUCUAUCAUAUGUGAUUCGUGGGACACUCGUUAAUUUAACUACUAACGAGAUAAAACAUGACGUGUUUGUAAAAAGUUAAAAUGGAGUGUAAAAAAUAACGACGUGUCAGACAACCGUUUCUCCUAAAAAGUAUUGUACAUGUUAGGUACAGAUAACGGUUUUUGAAGUUAGAACCGUUGUCCUAUUCAUACAACGGUUGUUUCAUAAUUAACGUUGUCUGAAGUCUCUUUCUACAACGUUGUCUUUAAAAAGUUUUGUCCACAGUUCAUUUAGACAGUGGUUUUAUUACUAUAAAAAUGCUUGUCUGAACUUUAACACAUAAAUUGUGCACGCAAUUAAUUUGAUAACACAUAAAUUUGAUAACAUCUUUGUCGGGAUAUAUAUCUUUGUCCGAAGCCAACAUUUCAUUGAAUGCAUUAUCCAGAUCUUUGUUUGAGCUCUCGUCUUCCAUGACCCAUCGUUAAUUCUCAUCUAUCAUUGAAAAGUUUUCACCCUUCUAUCUCAUCUCUAAUUAAACACUCUACCUCCUCAUCUCCGAUUUGAACUCAUCAUCUCUGAUUUGAACUCAUCGUGUCUGGAACUCAUCAUCUCCGAUUUGAACACUCUACCUCAUCUAUUCUCUCUGGUUGAAGCUCAUUCUUGCCGAGUUGAAGGUAUUACAACACUCUACCUCUUCAAUUUUAUCAAAUUUGAAAUUAGGGUUCUUACUAAUAUUUGGGGAUUUGGGGGUUCAGACUUAAUUUGUUUUAAUUUGCUUAAUUAAGUUAGUACAUUGGAAUUAGGUAUUAAAGCACUCUAUCUCUCCAUGUGUGUUUUGAUGUUUUGCUAUGUGUGUAUUUUUUUGCUAUUGAGGCUGUUAUGCAAGAUAAAUAACUAAAUAGAUUAAAUUAUUUUACAAGAUGGACAGGUCUUGGUUGAUGGCUGAUAGAAGAACAAAGGAAUUUGAAAGAGGAGUAGAUGAAUUAUUGUUAUUUGCAUUUGAGAACGGCUGUGAUGAAAAUAAAAUCAGUUGUCCAUGUUUAAAAUGUGCACAUAGCAAGUCCUGGAGAGCUCAAACAGUGAGGUGCCAUCUUUUUCAAAAUGGUAUAGAUCAGACCUACACUCAUUGGAUAUGGCAUGGAGAGUUAAAUACCGAAAGCAAGUCUCCUGCAGAAGACACAGCUAGUUCAGAGUCGGUGGACCAAAUCCCGAUGCAACCAGAAAAUGAUGAUAUUGAUGAUGAUAUUUCUUUUGAUUCCGCUGAUGCAUUUAACCAUGUUCAAUCUGAACAUGAACCACUUUAUCCGGGGUGUGAGGGAUUUACGAAGAUGAAGGCUUUGGUAAAGUUAUAUAACUUGAAAGCAAAACACCAAGUAUCAGAUGGUUGCUUCUCUGAACUUCUAUUGUUGGUUGGUUCUAUGCUCCCGGAAGGCAACACCUUCCCUUCUUCAUUUAGUGAAGCAAAAAAAAGCUUGUGCGCUUUAGGAAUGGAGUAUGAAAAAAUUCACGUAUGUCCAAAUGAUUGUUUAUUGUAUCGUGGAGAAAAGGACGAAGAUGAGACACGUUGUCGUGUUUGUCAAGCCUCUAGAUGGAAGUUGAACAAAAAAGGAGAAGAAUUACAAGGGGUUCCGGCAAAAGUUUUAUGGUAUUUUCCGUUGAUACCACGUUUGAGGACUUUAUUCAGUUCUGCACAAACAGCCAAGGAUUUGACUUGGCAUGACACGGAGAGAAUAAAUGAUGGUAAAUUGAGACAUCCAGCGGAUUCAAAGACAUGGAAGGAAGUCGACAGUAAGUGGCCAGAGUUUUCUUCAGAUUCUAGAAACCUCCGCUUAGCUUUACCUUCAGAUGGGUUCAAUCCCUUUUACAGCACAAAUAUUGAUUAUUCAUGUUGGCCAGUUUUAAUGUCAAUCUACAAUCUCCCACCAUGGCUUUGUAUGAAGAGGAAGUAUAUUAUGCUAUGUUUAUUGAUAUCCGGACCAAAGGAACUUGGCAAUGAUAUUGAUGUGUUCCUUCAGCCGCUCAUUGAAGAUUUACAAAAUCUUCGGACUGGAAAACAAGUUUGUGACGCAUACAAGAGGGAGUAUUUCUUGCUGCGAGGCAUUUUAUUAUGGACAAUUAGUGACAAUCCAGCCUAUGGUAACUUGUCAGGGAACAUUGUAAAAGGGUAUAAUGCGUGUCCUGUUUGCGUUGAUGGAACAAAAGCAACGAGGCUGGCUAAUUACCGUAAGUGCGUGGUCAUGAGGCAUCGGAGGUGGUUGCCCCGUGCACAUCCAUAUCGAAGGAAGAAAGAAGAUUUUGAUAACACAGUGGAAAAGGGAACUGCCCCAAUUCCAUUAACCGGGGAGGAGGUUCUUGAGAGAACAAAACAUUUAAAGAGUCAUGUCUUUGGUAAGACACAACGCCAACCUCGAUUCAAAAAAGGUGAUGUUCGACCUAUUUUUAAGAAGGUUUCUAUAUUUUUUGAACUUGAGUAUUGGAAGUUUUUGCCGGUUAGACAUGUUCUCGAUGUUAUGCACAUUGAGAAAAAUAUUUGCGAAGCUUUACUUGGUACUAUGCUUAAUAUACCCAAGAAGACAAAAGACAAGGAAUCUGUCCGGCUAGACAUGGCUGAAAUGGGAAUAAGAACGGAGCUAAGGCCAAAAACUCCCGGGAAAAAGGAGAAGUUACCAUUGGCAUCUUUGAAUUUAACUCAUUCGGAAAAAAAAGUAGUUUGCUCAUCAUUUCUAGGCAUGAAGUUGCCUGAUGGCUUCUGUUCAAAUAUUAGAAGUUUAGUUUCAAUGGAAACUCUUCGACUUACUGGAAUGAAAUCUCACGACUGCCAUAUGAUCUUGCAUCACUUGCUCCCAAUUGCGAUACGGUCGUCACUGCAAAAACAGGUCAGAAACACUGUCAUUAGAUUCUGUCUUUUUUUAAGGCAAUUUGCAGUAAAGUUAUUGAGGUUGAUAAGUUGGAGAAAAUGCAAUCCCAGCUGGUGGAAACUUUGUGCCAACUUGAAAAAUACUUCCCCCCUUCCUUGUUUGAUAUUAUGUUUCAUCUCUCGGUCCAUCUUGUAUGAGAAGUAGAGCUUUGUGGACCAAUUUUUCUUAGAUGGAUGUAUCCUUUUGAGAGAUACAUGAAGACAUUUAAAGGAUAUAUAAGGAAUCGGGCUCGUGCAGAAGGUUGCAUUGCUGAGGCCUAUGUUGCAGAAGAAGCUGUUGAGUGUUUGGUGAACCAUGAGGAAGCGACAGUUGGGUUGCCAAAAAAUGGUAGGCAUAGGAAGGAUGCCUUUUGUAGGCCAUUAUCUGGUGCAUCAGUUAUAACUCCGAGCGACAAUGAUUUGCAUUUAGCCCAUUUAUGUGUUUUACAAAAUACGGCUGCGGUUGGGCCAUAUUUUAAGUAAGUCAUUUCUUAAUUUUCUUCUUAAUCCUGAUAUUAUACAUCAUUAUGUUAUCAUUUACAUAGUCUCUUUUAAUUGUAUGCAGUGAACACAUGUCAUUUUUGAUGACUAAAUAUCCGGCAAAUGAAAAUAAUGAAAUGUGGCUAAAGAAUAAACAAAAUGAGACAUUCCCAGAAUGGUUUAGAGCAAAGGUAUUAUGUGCACUUUAUAACAUUUUUGUGCAUUUUUAAAACUGUCACAUAAUUCAUUUUAUAACUUUUAUGCUAUCUUUGGCAGAUUGCUUCAGAUUUGCUUGACGAAAAGGAGAUAUCACAAGAAAUAAGAUGGCUCGCAGAUGGGCCCAAUAAGGAUGUCCCUACAUACAAUGGUUACAAAAUGGAUGGGAUUACCUUUAGCACCAAAGCUCGUGAUGAUACACGUAAUGUUCAAUGCAGUGGCGUGUGUGUUCAAGCCGAUACCAUGGUUGUGCAGGGUAAGGAUCAAAUUGUUGAGCAUGCCUCACCUACAUUUUAUGGAGUGAUAAUAGGUAUAUGGGAGUUAGACUACAACAACUUUAGGAUCCCUAUUUUUCGUUGUAAUUGGAUUGAUAUGAAUAGAGGGACUAAGGUAGAUGACUUGGGUUAUACUUUGGUUAAUUUGAAUAAGUUGGGGUUUUUUAAUGAUCCAUUUGUGCUAGCGAAACACGUUAAGCAAGUAUGUUACAUAGAUGAUCCUCUUGAUAAACUAUGGUCCGUGGUGUUGAAAUUACCCGAGAAAAACUAUUAUGAGGACAAUGAUGAAGAAAAUGAGGGAUCCGUGGAAGUAGAACUUGAGAAUGAGUGCUUUGUGCCAAAUUUCCCGGAUGUUGAUUUAGACGAGGAGGACACGACUAGCUACAUGCGAGAUGUAGAUGAACUAAUUAAACUUUCAUGAUGUAAUUUAAUUUGAUUUUUAGUUUGGUGAUGAACUAAACAAACUUUUAGGAUGUAAGUUAGUUUCCUUGUUUUUUUCUCUGUUGGUUGGCUCUGUUUUUAGUCAGAUUUGUUGGCGUGCCUCUAUUUUCAGGAUGGUUUGCUCUGUUUUUCUGCUUUUUUUUUCUCCAAUGGUGGCAAAUCAGACAAGCGUUUUUGUCAAAAGAGGCUUGUCUGAUAACCAUUCACAUGCAUAACGCUAAACAAAACAAAGCUUGUUUUUAAAGUCUAAUAACAACACUUUUACUGAACAAACUGUUGUCUGUUUCUUAAAAGUCAUUUAGUCAGACAACAUUUUAUUUGUUAAAGGCUUGUCUGUAAGGCCAUGUUACGAUGCUAACAAAAACACUUGUAUGUUAGCUUUCCAGUCACACAACACUAUAUAAAACCCUUGUUUGAAAACCUUGUAAACAACACAACAAAUAAAACCGUUGUCUGAUUAAUACAACGGUUUCUUGAACUAUUGUCUGAGGUUUCUUCACACAUCAGCUCUUAAAACAGUUGUCUAACAUGCAUCAUUACACAAUACCACAGUUAAGAAAACGUUGUCUAGUUGAAUUUACUAUACAAAAUUUUUUUAACCGUUGUAGGGCGUAGGUGUUAGACAAUAGUUUUUCGAGGACGAAAAGAAAGUGUUGUGUCUUAAUUCCAAACAACACUUUUUUCACCGCGCGUUGUCUGAUCAGUGUUGUCUAAUGGUGUUUUUGUUGUAGUGACUAAUAAAACAUUGUCUGACUGAAUGACUUUUAAGAAAAUAAACGUACAUAAGAGAGUGCAAACAUUCAAAAGUCCUAACAUAAAUUAUAACAAAAUAGUAAAUUUCUUCAUAAUCAUAGGUUAUCCUGCAAAAAAAAUCAUAAAUUGAUCAAGAAAAUGUGAAUUUUUAAAUCUUAAAAAUAAAAAUUUAUUAUACAACGGUUUCUUUCCUUUCCUAUAAACCGUUGUCUACACUAAUUUUAUACAAUGGAUUUUACUUGAAGCGUUGUUUGAGCCUAAUUUAGACAAUGGAUUAUCUUACAACGGUAUAUCUUUCGUAAUGGUUGUGUCAUUUUCAAUGAUACAACAUAAGUGCGUAUAGAAACCGUUGUCUGUUAGACACUACAGGACAAAAUUUACCUUUAUAUAAUAAGACAAAAUUUACGCUUAACUAGUAUUGUUAAAAAAACAUACAAAAUAAACAUAAAAAAUUUUGAUUUUUUUAUACAUGACUAAUAUUGUUAGUUCUCGACAUCCGUACGGUUAGAUGAUCGAAAAAAAUAUUUAUAAAUUAAUAUAGAGCUAAUCUUAUACAUAACAAUGAUUCUAUCCAGUACGUUCUAAAUCGUAAACAUAAAACACAUACUAAUACUCACAUUCGAACUACAAAAUUGUCUAGGUAUUACAAAUGAACAAUACAUAUUUGCAUAUAUGCAUAAUAUAAAUAUAUUUAUUAAGACAAAUGGUACAAAAACAAUAAUCGAUCGAGGAAAUGCGAAUUUUUAACUCAUAAAAAUGAAAACUUAUUAUACAACGGUUUGCUUCUCAUAAAUCGUUGUCCGCAUUACUUUUAUACAACGGAUUUUCCUUGAAGCGUUGUUUGAGCCUAAUUUAGACAAUGAAUUAUCUUACAACGGUAUAUCUUUCGUAAUGGUUGUGUCAUUUUCAAUGAUACAACAUAAGUGCGUAUAGAAACCGUUGUCUGUUAGACACUACAGGACAAAAUUUACCUCUAUAUAAUAAGACAAAAUUUACGUGUAACUAGUAUUGUUAAAAAAACAUACAAAAUAAACAUAAAAAAUUUUGAUUUUUUUUAUACUUGACUAAUAUUGUUAGUUCUCGACAUCCGUACGGUUAUAUGAUCGAAAAAAAUAUUUUACAAAUUAAUAUAGAGCUAAUCUUAUACAUAACAAUGAUUCUAUCUAGUACUUUCUAAAUUGUAGACAUAAAACACAUACUAAUACUUACAUCCGAACUACAAAAUUUUCUUGGUAUUACUAAUGAACAAUACAUAUAUGCAUAAUAUAAAUAUAUUUAUUAAGACAAAAAGUACAAAAACAAGAAUUGAUCAAGGAAAUGCGAAUUUUUAAGUCAUAAAAAUGAAAAUUUGUUAUACAACUCUCUCUCUCUCUCUCUCUCUCUCUAAAAUAUGUUAGCUUAGUUAUGCUACUUUUUUUUUCCACAAGCUUAGUUAUGCUACUUAUGACCUAGUUGUAAAGGUGUUAGCUUAGAAUAUUANGAUAAUAUAAAUUUAUUUAUUAAGACAAAAGGUACAAAAACAAGAAUUGAUCAAGGAAAUGCGAAUUUUUAAGUCAUAAAAAUGAAAAUUUGUUAUACAACUCUCUCUCUCUCUCUCUCUCUCUCUCUCUCUCUCUCUCUCAUAUGUUGGCUUAGUUAUGCCACUUUCUUUUCCACAAGCUUAGUUAUGCUACUUAUGACCUAGUUUUAAAAGUGUUAGCUUAGAAUAUUAAAAUAUAAAAAUAUUAUUUUUAAAAUAAAAUAUUAGUUAAAAUUAAUUUUACUAGAAUUGAAGGUUAUAUACACAUGAAAUAAAUAAGAUAAUGAUGAUAUACAAAGUUUGUCUAUAAUAAAUUUUAAAAAAAAGUAAAAUAUGAAUAUACGAACUAAGGGUAUACGAACUUAUAAAUAUUAUAAAAUAUUAUAAAAUACAUAUAUGUAUUAUAAAAAUGAAAAUUUAAAAAUGUCAAUAUACGAACUUAUAAAUAUUAUAAAAUACAUAUAAGUAAUUAAUUUUUUAUAUAAUAAAUAUUUAAAUUUUAUUCAUUAAAAUAUAAAUAUAUGCGAAUAUUUGGACUCUAUCAAACUGGGUAAACAUUGGACUAGAGCAGGUAAAUUUUAGACUUACACUCCGCCCAAAUUUUUGAACAACUUUGAAAUUUUUACUCAUACUCACACGCUCAAUCUCUCUCUCAAUACCCCUGCUCGACUCUCUCUUGAAAUACCCUCUCUCGCUAAUCUAGGGCUAAUCUCUCUCAUCUCUCUGGCCACUAUUUUCUCAGUCAUGCUACCACUUUCAAUCAUUAUGGAUUUAUAUUUCUAAUCGGGGACAAUUGAAUUAAGGGUCGAGGCUUCGAUUUUUCAAUUAGGGCGUGGCUACUUCAAUCAUGCUUUGAUUCUUCAUUAAACUUCAAUUAAAGUUCAAGUACUUACAUAUAAUCCCUUAAAUUUCAUCUAAUCUCUCUAUCUCUCUUUGAUGUCAGGUGUUCUUCGUUUGGGUUUGCACUUCAAGACUUGUUUUAAGGUAUUUAUGAAUUUAGGAUUUGUGUGUUUUUGGGUUUAUUACAUUUGUAUUUUUUUUUAUGUUUAUGUGGUUGAUUUGCUUUGGUUUGUUUUUUUUUAUUUCUGUGUAAAAUUGCAAUACUCUAUUUUUGUGUGUAAUGUGUAAUUUGAACCCAUGCCAUGUUUUAGUUUUUUUUAUAUAUCUGCAGGAUGCAGGACAAGUCUGAAAUGGUAAAAGAUAAAUUAAUAAUGUUUGGGGAUAUGAUUUUCAGCUAUUUUUUUUGUCGAAAUAACUAUGACUUGUUAAGUCUUCUUCUCUUUGACAAUUUAUAACCUUGAGAGUCCAGCUUAUUCGCUUCAGAUUACUAAAGUUGAGAAGUAUGUUAUAGUUUGACCAAUAAAAUGAUGCAAAUACAAAACUACUUUACCAGCAUCUCCAAAGGUCAAAUAACCAGGUGACCAGAUCAGUAUAUACUGACAAAUUCUUGGAUCAGUCAUUAUUGUCGGAAAUGUAGUAUGAAAAUGUGGUAUUUGAAGUGUUUGCUCAUUCGGGUUUAUGUUUGCUGCGGUUUUGAAAGGCUGAGUUGAAGCAUAAGUUGGCGGAGUUUAGUUCGUGCCAGCUCACUCCUUCUGUUCUUUUUUGUUAGUGACUAUAUAUAUAUGCUUAUACUAUUAUCUGUUGUUAAAGUUUUUAUGUCUCUUUCUUGUAGGCUUUGCUGUUAGUAAGAGACAUACAUAUAUGUUCUCUGCGGGUGAUGACAAACAAGUUAAAUGCUGGGAUCUUCAAUAAAAUAAGGUUUGAUAAAAACUUUUUUAUGGACUAUGGCUAUGCUAGUGUUUCCAAUAAACUUAAUUAUUGAUAUUUCUCCACCUUUUAAAGGUUAUCAGGUCUUACCAUGAUCACCUAAGUGGAGUUUAUUGCUUGGCUAUGCAUCCCAAUAUUGACAUUCUACUUACAGGGGGUUGUGAUUCUGUGUGUCGGGUAUGAUUUUAUUAAUCUAAAAUAUUAUGCUACCUGUGAUUUGACAUUCUUUUGUCACAUGUUUCAGUCUCAGGGAAGCUUCAGUUUCUGUUGCUAUAAAGCCAAGGUCAUGGUUUGGUAUAUAAGGGAACUGCCUUGCCCAAGUUGUAGGGGAAGAGGUUACAGUCUUAUGUACAGAAUGCGGAAUAGAAAGAUCUAGAAAAGAUUUUGUCUGGUGUGAUGGCAAGGUAAAUAUUGAAUCAUUUACUAGUUAUGAAUUGCUUUAAUGUACACGUUGACCAGUACUAAACUUGGUAGAGAGACCAAGAGACAUGUGCAUUCUUCAAUUUUAUUUUCUAGCUUCUAUUUCUACAUGUAAUAUUCUGCCCUGUGCUUAUUUAUGUAUCUUAUUUGAUAUGAAAAUGAAAUACACGGUCUUGACUAUUUACAGUAUUGUUUUUCUGCAUAUAAAUAGUGCAAAAUAUAAAAUGCAAAGAUUUAUAGUACUUCCAAUAUUUUUUAGCGACCUAAUGCUACAUAAAUGCCUGUAGCCUAUUUCUGUUAGAGAAUCGGUGUUACAAGAAAGCGUUACAAGGGAUGGUUCUAUAUUUCUGUUAGGUAUAAAGCUCAUAGUCCAUAUUGAUUGUCGAUAUAAAUAUAUAGCAUUGAGACUAAAGCUAUCUAUUUUCCGCUAUGUAUCUUAUUAAGAGCUUUAAUUGUAAGUGUUUAUCAAUUACAGGUCAUACUUGCGAGUAGUGCAAGGGAGAUCGUGUAAUGGAAGAGUCAAUCGAUGAACGACCAUGGGAAAAGGCACGAUCAAUGUAUAAAUAUGAGUUAGAAGGAUGGUAUAAAUCCGUAUGUUUGUUGGAUGUAAUUGUUGGUUGAAAGGUGAAUAUUAGUUGGUAAAUAUAAUUAGUUGGUGGAUAUUUAGUUGGUGGAUAUAUGUUUGUGGAUAUUGGUGAUUGAUAUUUGGUUUGUACUUGGUUGGUUGUUAUGUUGGUAAUGAAAACUUUUGUUUACCAAUUUUCGACAUUGUUAAUUAUAUUGCGUAGUCUAGUUUAUUUGAUUCAUGGUUUUACUUUUAGCUAAUGGGACAUGUAAAUGGCCAUUGUUCAAGUUACAUAAUGCAAUGGUUAUUGUGAUAAAAACCAUUGUCUAUGAUAUUUUUAACUAAUGAGACAUGUAAAUGACAAUUGUUAUAAACAACAUUAUACAAUGAUCACUGUGAUUAAAAGUAUUGUCUCUCAAACCCUAUAAACAACACAAUUUUAAGAAUAAAAUCGUUGUCUAAGACAUAUACAAAUAAGUAUAUAGUAGUAACAAACCAUUGUCUAAAUCAAUAUCAUUCGAGCAUUCGGAACAAAAAUCGUUGUAGUAGAGCUUUCACACAAUUGUUUCAUUAUAUAAACUAUUGUUAUAAGGAGCCUUACACAACUGACCACGGCUCUAAACCCGUUGUACAAGGUAGUAAAACACGAGCCUCUAUAACGCAAACAAUCUUGUCUAAUACUCUUAUUAACAAGUAAAUAUAUCCAGAAACUGUUGUGGAUAGUUAUAAUAACAACACGAAUUGAAAACAUGUCUGUUGUUGUUAAUUGUUUAUAACAACACGCUGUAAUAUGAUUCCGUUGUUGGUUCUGGGUUUAACACAACACGCAGUUAAACAUAAACCGAUGUGUUUCUUUUUCUCACACAACGGUCGGUACCAUUGUCUGAGGCGCGUAUUAGACGACAUCGCAAUAGACCACGGUUUUUCUUGGUAUCAGACAACGGGCAAAAACGCUUGUGUGAUGCUGUUUUCCUUGUAGUGAAUAUAAAUAUAGUUUUAAACUAUAUGUAUUUAAAAUUUUUAUAAUAUAUAUAUAUAUAUAUAUAUAUAUAUAUAUAUAUAUAUAUAUUAUAUAUAUAUAUAUAUAUAUAUAUAUAUAUAUAUAUAUAUGUAUAAAUUUAGAGUUACGAUACUCAUCAAAAGAAAUAUAAAUUAGAUUAUAAAUAUGAUAAUGAUGAAGGUGCAAAGAUUUCAACACUAACAAAUUAUUUUAUAGAAAACAUAUAUAAGUAUUAUAUUCAAUUUGUCGUCUUAAAACUAACCUUAAUUUAUAUUGCAAAAUUAUUAAAAUUAAGUCGAAUAACUUGAACAUACACACAUAAGAGAUAACAUCUUAAUUAAUAAUCUAUCUAUAUAUAUAAACAUUUGUCAUUAUGUAUGAUAUAUUUUUAAUAUUAGAAUAGAGCGGUGCGGUGCGGUUUAAACCGCGCUUGUAUAAUGUCAAACCGCAACCCGCACCGCACUGCCCGGUUUGUUAAAACUUCAAUCCGCAAUCCCACCACGAAAAAGAAAAAUCGCAUUUUACGGUGUGGUGCGGAGCGGUGCGGGCGGUUUGUGCGGUGUGGGCGGUUUGAUGAACACCUCUAAUUUUAGGUAUCAUAAAAAAAUGAAAAUAACAAAAUAAAUAGUUAAAAUAUAAUAUUUUAAAUCAGAACAAUGAAAUAAAUAAUGGCUAAACUUAUUUUGGUUGGCCGGGUUUUAUACAUAUUAAUGGGCCAAGUUAAUUUUCAAGAGAAAUAAGUCUGCUGAAACCUAAUUUCCAAACUCAAACCACCCGACUCACCUACUAAAGCUGCAAACAAGCUGCAAUGGAGGAAUUAUCUGAUAACGUCUUUAAUCUUCAACCAAAAAUCUCGGACAAUGGAUGUCAUUUAACCGUAACCGUAUUAGCAACAUUUUGAAAAAUCUAAAUAAAAAUUCAAAUGAUUUUCAAUGAUAUAAAAAAUAACCGAUUUUUUUGGUAUUGAAAGAGAGGAGGUAAUUGAACUGGUGGAUGAUGAGCUAAUUUAUUAAUGUGGAAGAAAGGCAGACGUAUUCCGACUUUGGAGGUUUGUGUUCUGUUCGCAUCUUAUAUCAUUUUUACCUUACUGCUCGUCGUGUUGUUUUUAUUUUGACUGAAUCUUGGAUAAUAUUGUUUGUGUACGCUAGUUUCAGUUACUAUCCUUUUUUAUUUGUAUCGUGUAAAAGUUGAGUCAAUCUAACUUGUUGAAUUAUAUUAUUUUUCAAUUUACAGGUCGGGAUAAAGUUAACUUACGUAAUCAAAGUCCAUGAUAUGGAUAAUUCUGCAAGUAUCAUAUUUGUCCUUCACUAUAAGCAAGUAUCAUUGUUACCAUAAUCCAGUUUUUUUUUGGAAGAAUAAGGACAAGCUUAACGAUUAAAGAGAGCAAAGAAGAGUAAUAAAUUUGAGAAAAAAGAUCAUCCUACUAGUAUUGUAAAUAAUAUUGUGAAACGGUAGAAAAUGUUAUUAAAUAAUAAACAAUUACAUUGUGUAAAUAUUAAAUUUGGUGGACAUGACUUGUUUAUUAGUCGAUGUUCAAAAAAAAAAUGAAAUGAACAUAACAUUCAAUAGAGUCAAGCUAUCAUCAUAUACAAAAAAUCAAAUAAAUGAAGAUUGAACUUUGAAAAAUGGAGUAAUUUAAGUUAAAAAAAUUGAAACAAAGUUAAUAUAUAAAAAAUAAUUUCAGAAUUAAUUUGACAAUAACCAAUUCAACGAGUUAACAUAAACAACUGAUCACCGUUAGCAGAUUAAUUCAAAAAAGAUUUUAAAAAUGACGAGGGUAAAGAGAUUUUUACUUGAUGCAGAUUACUCAGCAAAGAUUCUGGAAAUGAUGGUAAACAAAUUCCAUAAGAAGGCAAGAUAUUCGCUUAGUGUUACCCGGUUCGCAGUACGGCCUAUGGAUCCGCGAACUGGUUCGCUCGUACCGGAACACAGGUCGAAGUCGACCCGGAUUAGUCGGGAUCAGGAAGAUUUUCAUUCUGCAUGAGAAUGAUUUUGGGGUCCCGGAUAAUCUAUUGGAGGGCAAGGAGAAAGUGCUUGUUAAUUGUGGUGUUGGUUAUACAACCAUUCCAAGUAAGUUUUCUAGUAUGCUAAACUCUUUGAUUAAUUGUUCCAAUGAAAAUAUGAAUGACUUAGAGUCAUGCACUUACUUCCAAGCACAUAUGUGUUUCCUUACCUCUGCUCUUGUUUAAUUCACUUUAAUAUAGAUGAUCCCUUCUACUCUCGACGGCCGACGAGUAUCGGAUUGGUGUAUGUACUAUAUUGUUAUAUAGAAGAUUUAAAGCAACAUAUUUAGUUAAUACAAGUUCUAAAAUAUAACAUUCAAAUAUGAAAAGGGUAGAAAUAUUUGCAAUCCGUGAAGAAUCAACCAAUUAUAAACAGGUUAGUUGAUAUAUAUAAUUUUGAUUUCUCCUAUAUUUCAUAACUGUUUUACUUGUCACAAAAAAAGACAAUAACAAAGGAUAUAGUUAAAAUUGAGUUAAAUAUAACUAAGUGUCAUGUAAUAAGUGACUCUCAGACAGGGGCGGAAAGAGGCUUGGGCCAGGAUAGGCCUGGCCCUCCUUGAAAUUUGAGUAAAAAUUAUUCUUUUUGUUAAAUUAUUCGCCCAUCCCACAUGUGGUAGGUCCUUAGCAGCAAAACAGCAAAACCGCACAGCAUAAUUGUACUUUGAUCCUUUUACUUUUGAGUUUGCACAUCAACGAGCAACAGCGGAGGACAUAAAAAAUAAAAAGAAAAGAAAGGCCUAACAGUUAGCGAGGAGAGACAACGAGAGAAUAGUGAUAAAAAGGACGGAGCCGAGUGAGAUAGGCACAGAAAAAUAUUAGCGAUAUUUUCAACUUUAAUCAGCAACAGAAAAAGAGUGCUCUUCUUGUCUGAAUGCUCUUGUACAUAUGACGUUUUCAACUAAAUAAAAAUGCCUAAUAUUUCUUGUUGUCAAGAGCUGCAAUAUUUCUGCUAGGAUAAAAUGUAAAAAAGCUUAAUUACUUUUUCUGAUUUUCAUGUUGUAUUAUCAAACUUGUGUUAUUCUGUUCAUAUAGUAGUGACUAGUGACUACAUGUGGCUGGAUUAUAUUUCUUUAAUCUAUAUGAUUAUAUAAUUAAGUAAGAGGAGAACAUGAAUACAUGAUGAUUAGGUGCAUUAGCACUUAUACAGAGUGUUAGUGGAGUAAGAUGCAAUGAAAAAAAUCUAAUGACAGCCAAAAGCCUUGAUUAUUUGUUAAACAAACAAGAAACAGUUGGCAUGUUCUUGUAACCUCCACAAAACCAACCUAUAUAAUGCAUUGCCAUUCUCUUCUCCAUUCAUAACUUAAGUGGCAAAACCACCUUUUAACUUUAUCCCUACUGUGUUAAGCACUUCAGAAAAAGAUUUGGAAAACUUAAUGGAGAGUUUCAAGAUUUCUAAAGUUUUUACCAUCUGCAUCAUGGUUCUUGUUGCUUUCUCCAAUUUGGGAGCCUCAGCGGCGCUUGAAGAUGUUGCAGCACCUGCACCAUCACCAACAAGUGCUGGAACAGCGUUGUACGUACCAGCAGCACUUGCUGUAGUGGCUUCUCUCGUUGCUUGUAUCUUUUAAAUUUUGUAUCUGUGGAUGUCCUGUAUCCUUUUGAGUGGUAAUCUGGUUUUGAAUUUGC